RNAcentral lists this ribosomal RNA (430 nucleotides) under Klebsiella quasipneumoniae. Its description in RNAcentral is "bacterial LSU rRNA". It matches the Rfam family "Bacterial large subunit ribosomal RNA", at positions 590 to 1019 of the family's 2925-position model. Lineage: Bacteria; Pseudomonadati; Pseudomonadota; Gammaproteobacteria; Enterobacterales; Enterobacteriaceae. The record is from RNAcentral.
GGUGUGACUGCGUACCUUUUGUAUAAUGGGUCAGCGACUUAUAUUCUGUAGCAAGGUUAACCGUAUAGGGGAGCCGCAGGGAAACCGAGUCUUAACUGGGCGUUAAGUUGCAGGGUAUAGACCCGAAACCCGGUGAUCUAGCCAUGGGCAGGUUGAAGGUUGGGUAACACUAACUGGAGGACCGAACCGACUAAUGUUGAAAAAUUAGCGGAUGACUUGUGGCUGGGGGUGAAAGGCCAAUCAAACCGGGAGAUAGCUGGUUCUCCCCGAAAGCUAUUUAGGUAGCGCCUCGUGAACUCAUCUUCGGGGGUAGAGCACUGUUUCGGCUAGGGGGGUCAUCCCGACUUACCAACCCGAUGCAAACUACGAAUACCGAAGAAUGUUAUCACGGGAGACACACGGCGGGUGCUAACGUCCGUCGUGAAGAGGG